UACGAAGGGGGCUAGCGUUGUUCGGAAUCACUGGGCGUAAAGCGCACGCAGGCGGAUCGAUAAGUCGGGGAUGAAAGCCCGGAGCUCAACCUCGGAAUUGCCUUCGAUACUGUCGGUCUCGAGUCCGGGAGAGGUGAGUGGAAUUCCUAGUGUAGAGGUGAAAUUCGUAGAUAUUAGGAAGAACACCAGUGGCGAAGGCGGCUCACUGGCCCAGUACCGACGCUCAGGUGCGAAAGCGUGGGGAGCAAACAGG
RNAcentral lists this ribosomal RNA (253 nucleotides) under uncultured bacterium. RNAcentral's name for it is "partial 16S ribosomal RNA". It matches the Rfam family "Bacterial small subunit ribosomal RNA", at positions 524 to 776 of the family's 1533-position model. The record is from RNAcentral.